CAAUAGCGUAUAUUAAAGUUGUUGCGGUAAAAAAGCUCGUAGUUGGAUUUCUGUUGAGAGCGACCGGUCCAUACCAUGUAUGCGUAUCUGGCUUGCUCUCGGCAUCCUCUCGAUAGACGUUACUGCGCUUGAUUGCGUGGUGCGGAUCUCGGGACUUUUACUUUGAGGAAAUUAGAGUGUUCACGGCAGGCUUUCGCCAGAAUGCAUUAGCAUGGAAUAAUACUAUAGGAUCUUGGUUCUAUUUUGUUGGUUUCUAGAAUUGAGAUAAUGAUUAAUAGGGACAAUUGGGGGCAUUCGUAUCAACACGUCAGAGGUGGAAUUCUUGGAUUGUGUUGCGACGAACUACUGCGAAAGCAUUUGCCAAGGAUGUUUUCAUUGA
This 379-nucleotide ribosomal RNA is filed under the name uncultured eukaryote. RNAcentral describes it as "partial 18S ribosomal RNA". It matches the Rfam family "Eukaryotic small subunit ribosomal RNA", at positions 592 to 976 of the family's 1831-position model. The record is from RNAcentral.